Non-coding RNA from Arachis ipaensis, 508 nucleotides. NCBI's taxonomy places the organism in Eukaryota, Viridiplantae, Streptophyta, Magnoliopsida, Fabales, Fabaceae. The record is from RefSeq and is a predicted model, not a curated record.
CCUAACGUUGCAUUAAUGCGUUUACAGUUUACACCCUCACCCCUUCCCCCAACAACCCCCCUACCAAUUCGUGAAUCACUAUACUCUGAAGCAAAGUUAAAUCCCCAAACCAAAACCCUAGGUCCUCCCUGCAACAUUUCUGCCGCACUGCUGCCGCCGUCCGUGCUGUCGGCAUCGUCUGUGGCCAAGCCCUCUCUUGUAGCUCAGCGUCCUCCUUCCCCUUGUCCUCCGUCCAUCCUCCAUGGCUUCUCUGUUUUGUUGGCUUGGAGCAGCUCGCCGUGUCGUCGCUCGCCGUCGUCUCCCCGAUCGCCGUUCGUGUCUCCGUCGAAGCUAUGAAGUUUUGCUCACAUUGGAUAAGGAAAAGCACAAAGUGGAGGGUCGAAAAUAUUAUUAUGUGUUCAACAGUCUUCUAUAUUGCUUGCUUGUUCUGCAUAUAUACUGUGGGUGCUGAUAUUUCGGAUGCUUGUUAGACAAAUUCAAGCAAGAGGAAAAAUUAGUGAUGAUGUUC